RNAcentral lists this ribosomal RNA (498 nucleotides) under Acrobeloides sp. Sourhope farm. RNAcentral describes it as "SSU rRNA". It matches the Rfam family "Eukaryotic small subunit ribosomal RNA", at positions 47 to 544 of the family's 1831-position model. The record is from RNAcentral. Lineage: Eukaryota; Metazoa; Nematoda; Chromadorea; Rhabditida; Cephalobidae.
AGCCAUGCAUGUCUAAGUAUAAACGAUUUAAUCGUGAAACCGCGAAUGGCUCAUUAUAACAGCUAUAAUUUACUUGAUCUUGACACAAUCCUACUUGGAUAACUGUGGUAAUUCUAGAGCUAAUACAUGCAUUAAAGCUCUGACCUCACGGGAAGAGUGCAUUUAUUAGAACAAAACCAAUCGGCUUCGGCUGUUUCUGGUUGACUCAUAGUAACUGAGCUGAUCGCAUGGUCUUGCACCGGCGACGUGUCUUUCAAGUAUCUGCCGUAUCAACUUUCGAUGGUAGUGUAUCUGACUACCAUGGUGAUCACGCGUAACGGAGAAUAAGGGUUCGGCUCCGGAGAGUUCGCCUGAGAAAUCGCGAACACAUCUAAGGAAGGCAGCAGGCGCGAAAAUUACCCACUCUCAGCACGAGGAGGUAGUGACGAAAAAUAACGAGACCGUUCUCUUAUGAGGCCGGUCAUCGGAAUGGGUACAAUUUAAACCCUUAACGAGUAU